GGGACGAACGCUGGCGGCGUGCUUAACACAUGCAAGUCGAACGGUGAACUCUCUUCGGAGGGGGAUCAGUGGCGAACGGGUGAGUAACACGUGAGCAACCUGCCUCUAGCUCUGGCAUAACUCCGGGAAACCGGGCUAAUUCCGGAUAGUAACCUGGUUGGCAUCUUCCGGGUUGGAAAGUUUUUCGGCUAGAGAUGGGCUCGCGGCCUAUCAGCUUGUUGGUGGGGUAGUGGCCUACCAAGGCGACGACGGGUA
RNAcentral lists this ribosomal RNA (255 nucleotides) under uncultured bacterium. RNAcentral's name for it is "partial small subunit ribosomal RNA". It matches the Rfam family "Bacterial small subunit ribosomal RNA", at positions 27 to 285 of the family's 1533-position model. The record is from RNAcentral.